CUAGCGACAGGACUUAACACAUGCAAGUCGAGGGGCAUCACGGGAGUAGCAAUACAACGUGUAGCGACCGGCGCACGGGUGAGUAACGCGUAUGCAACCUACCUAUCAGGAGGGGAAUAACCCGGCGAAAGUCGGACUAAUACCGCAUAAAACAGGGGCACCGCAUGGUGAUAUUUGUUAAAGAAAUUCGCUGAUAGAUGGGCAUGCGUUCCAUUAGGUAGUUGGUGAGGUAACGGCUCACCAAGCCGACGAUGGAUAGGGGAACUGAGAGGUUGGUCCCCCACACUGGUACUGAGACACGGACCAGACUCCUACGGGAGGCAGCAGUGAGGAAUAUUGGUCAAUGGGCGGGAGCCUGAACCAGCCAAGUCGCGUGAAGGAAGAAGGAUCUAUGGUUCGUAAACUUCUUUUGCAGGGAAUAAAGUGCAGGACGUGUCCUGUUUUGUAUGUACCCUGAGAAUAAGGAUCGGCUAACUCCGUGCCAGCCGCCGC
Molecule: ribosomal RNA, 492 nt
Filed under: uncultured bacterium
Lineage: Bacteria
Description: bacterial SSU rRNA
Rfam family: Bacterial small subunit ribosomal RNA
Source: RNAcentral